RNAcentral lists this long non-coding RNA (652 nucleotides) under Anas platyrhynchos platyrhynchos (common mallard). RNAcentral describes it as "lncRNA (ENSAPLG00000018852.1)". Lineage: Eukaryota; Metazoa; Chordata; Aves; Anseriformes; Anatidae. The record is from RNAcentral.
CCUGUGGCCAAUUCACAUCCAAUUGUUUGAAAAUUGGUCUUAGGUGAUAACCCUGAAUGAUUAAAUAUGAAGCUAAUUCUGCUUUCAAAUCCACCUGUUCCUUUGAAAAGCACAGUAAAUGUCCCCCAGAGGAGGAAGGUUCAAAGCUGCACUGAUCUGACUGUGUCUACUGAAAACCCAAAUGUUAUGAUCUCUGUGUUAUAUGAGAUACUAUCCCUAAAGUAAAACUAGCUUUAGGAAGCCAAAACUCCAGAUGGCUCCUCUGGCACCCAGGAUAUAUGGUGGCACCUGAAUGGACUCUCUUUUAGGGGGUAGGAGCAAAUUCCGUGGUACUGCUGGGACCUAUGAUACUGGUGAUGCUUUGAUCUCUCACUCUUCUUGUGCUGAUUGUGGGUGCUGUGCUAUUUUAAACCCACAUGGAAGUAUGUUUUCAGGACCAUCUGCUACCGGCCCUAACCCAGAUGAUACAGUUAGAGCCUGCCCACAGCAUCCUCCCCUCCUUCAGGCGGUUCCAGGAACAAGCGCAGCUUUCUGGUCAUCCACUCAUUUGGCAAAACUGGCAAAACGUGCCCUCUCCUUUGGACUGCUGCUGUCGUCACGCUUCUCCUGGAUGCACUUAGCAUGCUGUACUGCUUGCCACCCAGCAGGUUAA